ACAUAUGUAUAUAUAUACACAUACAUUGAUACGUAGGUGCGGAUUUAUCUGCAUCCACAACCGAGCGCCGAUUCCACACGUGGCUGUAUCUGCACACAUGGGUCAAUCCGCUUGACAUACAAGCACAUCGUAUAGACAAUCGUAAACGAAACUUUUCAACGACGAUGCGGCAUCCGCAUGCAGGUAAUUAACGAGCGCAAACGUCUUGAGAACCUACAAUGCGAAACCUUCGACGUGGGCGAAUUCCGUUUUUGGUACAUCUUAUGUUCAGCUUUCACUGCCUUCCAAAUUGAAUCGUGUACUUUUUGCAAUGUUAGUAGGAAAUGUUGAUAACCUGGAGACUUAGCUUAAGAACGAGGAAGUGUAGGUGUUUUUUUUUUUUUUUUUGUUUUUCUUUUUGCGAAAUAAAUUGAAUUUCGCGUAUACGGAAUCAACGUCUUCCUACACGCGUCUACUUUGUAAUUAACGUUUAAGCUUUUGGUUGAAGACAUUGCGAAUAUUAAUCACAGCUCUGAAUACUGAGUGUCGAGGAAGAACCUCAUCAACAUCCAAUUAGUCACACAUCAGGCCAAACGAGUCAUCUCCGUGCAGAGUUA
Molecule: long non-coding RNA, 596 nt
Organism: Neodiprion fabricii
Lineage: Eukaryota; Metazoa; Arthropoda; Insecta; Hymenoptera; Diprionidae
Exons: 2
Source: RefSeq, a predicted model, not a curated record